AUCCAUAUGCACCCUUUUUUUCUUGGUUCAAGAAUAGCACAAACAUCUAUAUUGUAUUUCUCUAAAUAAGAGUGUAACUCUAUAUACAUACUAUCUUUAUUAAAUCCUCUAACAUUCCAUACCCAAAAAUUCAUUUACAAGAGUUUUUCCCCCACGACCUCUACCAUGCAAUUUACCUUGUUUAUUCUUCAUCACACUGCCUUCUUGUAGAAUAAAAUCCCCAAGAGUAACUGGCGUUGCCAGCUUCAGUUCUCCCCCCUCAUCUUCCUCAUCUAUUUUGUGAUUCCUAGGGGUCUGCAUUACUACUUCUAGUUCCUUUUGCUCUCCAUCUGGUUCAUUCCCAACUAUUACUCACUGGCUUAAACCCAACUCAUUACUAUUAACUCCAUUCUCAGGGCUACACUUCUCAGAGUCAACAACUUCCGUGGGAGCCUCCAACUCCAGAACGUUCUCAAGUACCUCAAAGUUGUUAUGAAAAUCCAUAUUCAAGCCAUCCACAUUUGAUUUAUGCAGCACAAUCUACUCAACAAUCUCCUUUACUUGCACAUAAGUUUUAGAUGAUCCACUUGGAAAGCUUGCUGCUGAGGCAGAUAUCAAUUCAUCUUCCUUCUUAUUGCCCUUAGACAUUAUUUUUUCCAAAUUUUCAUUUUGAAUCACCUUCUUCCUCCAAGUCGGCUUAGGAGCCUCAUAUGAUCGAGUAACAGGGGAACUUAUAGCUAAUUCUACACGUUCACCAUCCUCAAGAACAAUCGCAAUUGAGUCCAGGCAGCAAGAUUCAUAAGAUAGUAGACAAAUUUUAACAUCAACUUCUGCAUUAACAUAGCUAUGAAUAGGCUAACCAAUUUGAGCCACAACCCAUCUAACUCCUUAAAGAUAAAUCAGCCAUAGUGGGAGAGAUUGUAUGGUGAUCCGUACAAGCUUCUCUUUGGGCAAAAGAUCAAGUGGUCGAAUUCCUUUAGUCCAACGUCUCAAAACAACAGUAGAAUGGUGAAUAUGCCACAACCGCCAAAAAACCCAGUCGCAUAACUCUUUGGAGGGGAAUUCCAAAAGGUAAAACCCAACAUAAAAAAUCGAUAUAGUUAUGCUUCCUCCAUAUCCCCAAAGUUGAUUCGCCAUAGAAGCGAAAACUCUCAUUGGCGGACUAGAGCCAACAAACUGAGCAACCAGAGCUGAUUGCAUCCUCUGAAACCCUUGAUCCAGCACCUCUUUGGGAUUUUUAGAGCACUAUCAAUGAAACAGUCAUCUGUAAGAUCCACAUGCCUUAGCAAAGGCUCCAGAUCCAAAAGCGAUGCCCCGGUUCUAGGUGUGGAUGUGGUAGGAAUGGCGGGGGCAGUGGAGAUCGUUGAAGUGUGAGGAUUGACAGGGGCAUUAGAAAUUGGGGGGUCGGAAAUGGGAGGAGACAAAGAAGAGGAGGCAGUGGAAAUCGGGGGAUCAAAAAAGGAUGGAGUCGAAGAAUGGGAUGCAGAUUUUCUAGAAAUAACGUGCGUCAUUCAAAACCGAAUCAAUCAAAAGAGGAAGCAACACGAUACAUCCGUAGAUCUUAGAGAUCUGCGGGCAAAGAUCUUGCUCACCAAGAGAGCUCCAAAGGAGCGCACCCACAGAGGAAACCCUCCAGCGACGGUCUUUGAGAAAAUAGAGAAAUCACUCAGAGUUGAGAGGAUUUCACACGAUUUCCACGCCCGUUGCUGCUGUUAAAUAUUUUAACUUAGCACAAAUUGACAAGUCCCUCAUUUAAAGCAACAAACAUCAUUUAUUCGUUUCAUUUAACCGUGGUUUCAUGUUGGUCGUUGUUAAAUGUUUGAUAUAAAUAUCAGCAGCCCUCCCCUUCUCC
RNAcentral lists this long non-coding RNA (1831 nucleotides) under Linum usitatissimum (flax). RNAcentral's name for it is "long non-coding RNA (LUSI_LNC006533)". Lineage: Eukaryota; Viridiplantae; Streptophyta; Magnoliopsida; Malpighiales; Linaceae. The record is from RNAcentral.